CUUAACACAUGCAAGUCGAACGGGAAGGUUCCUUCGGGAACCGGCGAGUGGCGCACGGGUGAGUAACGCGUGAGGAUCUGCCUCGAAGUGGGGAAUAACCGCUGGAAACGGCGGCUAAUACCGCAUACGCCCUCAGGGGGAAAGCUUUAUGCGCUUCGAGAUGAACCCGCGUCGGAUUAGCUAGUUGGUGGGGUAAAGGCUCACCAAGGCGACGAUCCGUAGCUGGUCUGAGAGGAUGAUCAGCCACACUGGGACUGAGACACGGCCCAGACUCC
This 275-nucleotide ribosomal RNA is filed under the name uncultured bacterium. Its description in RNAcentral is "partial 16S ribosomal RNA". It matches the Rfam family "Bacterial small subunit ribosomal RNA", at positions 47 to 339 of the family's 1533-position model. The record is from RNAcentral.